Molecule: ribosomal RNA, 775 nt
Filed under: uncultured Neocallimastigales
Lineage: Eukaryota; Fungi; Neocallimastigomycota; Neocallimastigomycetes; Neocallimastigales
Description: partial large subunit ribosomal RNA
Rfam family: Eukaryotic large subunit ribosomal RNA
Source: RNAcentral
UAUGUGAUCGUCUCUCGCAUAUCAAUAAGCGGAGGAAAAGAAACUAACAAGGAUUCCCUUAGUAACGGCGAGUGAAGCGGGAAGAGCUCAAAUCUGAAAUCUUCAAGGUUUUACCUUGACGAAUUGUAGUUUAAAGAAGUGUUUUCUGUUGAAGUUUUGGUAAAAGUUCUUUGGAAUAGGACAUCAUAGAGGGUGAGAAUCCCGUAUUUGACCAUUAUUUUCAGCUGUGUGAUACACUUUCAAAGAGUCGGAUUGUUUGGGAAUGCAGUCCAAAAUGGGUGGUAAAUUUCAUCUAAAGCUAAAUAUUGGCGAGAGACCGAUAGCGAACAAGUACCGUGAGGGAAAGAUGAAAAGAACUUUGAAAAGAGAGUUAAACAGUACGUGAAAUUGUCAAAAGGGAAGCGUUUGACACCAGUGUUGUUUUCUCGAAAAUCAAUUAAAAAGAGUUUAGAUUUUGUUGUGUAUUGACCUUAACAGCUUGCAUUUCAAUUUUCUUGCUUUUUUUAAUGCACUUUUCGUUUAACAAGUCAACAUCAGUUUCUUUUGUUGUAAAAAGGUCAUUGGAAGGUGGCUUUCUUUUCGGAGAAAGUGUUUAUAGCCUUUGACUCCUGCAAUCGGAGAGACUGAGGUCUGCAGCGUAGAUCCUUCGGGGUUAGAUACAUUUGUGCUAAGUUAUAGCUUUUUAUAGACAACUUGUUGACUAUGAUUAGUCUUGUAGCUCACUCGCUUAUGCUAUUUUACCUACGCUUAGGAUGUUGAAGAUGUAGCACAUCAU